This 442-nucleotide ribosomal RNA is filed under the name uncultured bacterium. Its description in RNAcentral is "partial 16S ribosomal RNA". It matches the Rfam family "Bacterial small subunit ribosomal RNA", at positions 338 to 795 of the family's 1533-position model. The record is from RNAcentral.
CCUACGGGUGGCAGCAGUAGGGAAUCUUUCACAAUGGGCGAAAGCCUGAUGGAGCAACGCCGCGUGCAGGAUGAAGGCCUUCGGGUUGUAAACUGCUUUUAUAAGCGAGAAAUAUGAUGGUAACUUAUGAAUAAGGAUCGGCUAACUACGUGCCAGCAGCCGCGGUCAUACGUAGGAUCCGAGCAUUAUCCGGAGUGACUGGGUGUAAAGAGUUGCGUGGGUGGCAUAAUAAGUAGCUAGGGAAAUCUGGUGGCUCAACCAUUCAGACUAUUAGCUAAACUGUUAAGCUAGAGUCCGUUAGAGGUAAGCGGAAUUUGUGGUGUAGGGGUGAAAUGCGUAGAUAUUAGGAAGAACACCGAUGGCGUAGGCAGGUUGCUGGGACGGUUCUGACACUAAGGCACGAAAGCGUAGGGAGCAAACGGGAUUAGAUACCCCAGUAGUC